This 23-nucleotide small nuclear RNA is filed under the name Arabidopsis thaliana (thale cress). RNAcentral's name for it is "snRNA_06593". Lineage: Eukaryota; Viridiplantae; Streptophyta; Magnoliopsida; Brassicales; Brassicaceae. The record is from RNAcentral.
AAGCGUCCUCAGCGACGGACCGG